Molecule: ribosomal RNA, 427 nt
Filed under: Salmonella enterica subsp. enterica serovar Halle
Lineage: Bacteria; Pseudomonadati; Pseudomonadota; Gammaproteobacteria; Enterobacterales; Enterobacteriaceae
Description: bacterial SSU rRNA
Rfam family: Bacterial small subunit ribosomal RNA
Source: RNAcentral
UUUGAUCAUGGCUCAGAUUGAACGCUGGCGGCAGGCCUAACACAUGCAAGUCGAACGGUAACAGGAAGCAGCUUGCUGCUUUGCUGACGAGUGGCGGACGGGUGAGUAAUGUCUGGGAAACUGCCUGAUGGAGGGGGAUAACUACUGGAAACGGUGGCUAAUACCGCAUAACGUCGCAAGACCAAAGAGGGGGACCUUCGGGCCUCUUGCCAUCAGAUGUGCCCAGAUGGGAUUAGCUUGUUGGUGAGGUAACGGCUCACCAAGGCGACGAUCCCUAGCUGGUCUGAGAGGAUGACCAGCCACACUGGAACUGAGACACGGUCCAGACUCCUACGGGAGGCAGCAGUGGGGAAUAUUGCACAAUGGGCGCAAGCCUGAUGCAGCCAUGCCGCGUGUAUGAAGAAGGCCUUCGGGUUGUAAAGUACUU